CUGAAAGAGAUGGUGUCAUCGCU
Molecule: non-coding RNA, 23 nt
Filed under: Rattus norvegicus (Norway rat)
Lineage: Eukaryota; Metazoa; Chordata; Mammalia; Rodentia; Muridae
Source: RNAcentral